UUCUUGAUAUUUAGUCGCCAUCUACUUUCUUGUAAUCUGAAGCCAUUGGUUCAAGUCUGACCUUUCAGAGCAGGAGAAAACAAGCUUGCUCCCUCUUCCAGGUGACAGCCCUUGAGAUAUUUGAAGAUGGCUAUCCUAUCUCCUCUCAAGUCUCCUCUUUUCCUGGCUAAACAUACCCAGCUCCUUCAACCA
Non-coding RNA from Podarcis lilfordi (Lilford's wall lizard), 192 nucleotides. Lineage: Eukaryota; Metazoa; Chordata; Lepidosauria; Squamata; Lacertidae. The record is from the annotation of a GenBank genome assembly.